GACGAACGCUGGCGGCGUGCUUAACACAUGCAAGUCGAACGGAAAGGCCCUGCUUUUGUGGGGUGCUCGAGUGGCGAACGGGUGAGUAACACGUGAGUAACCUGCCCUUGACUUUGGGAUAACUUCAGGAAACUGGGGCUAAUACCGGAUAGGAGCUCCUGCUGCAUGGUGGGGGUUGGAAAGUUUCGGCGGUUGGGGAUGGACUCGCGGCUUAUCAGCUUGUUGGUGGGGUAGUGGCUUACCAAGGCUUUGGCGGGUAGCCGGCAUGAGAGGGUGACCGGCGACCUUGGGACUGAGGGACGGCCCAGACGCGUACGGGAGGCAACAGUGGGAAGUAUUGCACAGUGAGCGGGAGCCUGAUACGGCGGCGUCGCGUGCGGAAUGACGGCCUUCGGGGUAUGAACCGCUUUCGCCUGUGACGACGCGUGAGUGACGGUAAUGAGUAAAGAAGCACCGGCUAACUACGUG
This 468-nucleotide ribosomal RNA is filed under the name uncultured bacterium. RNAcentral's name for it is "partial 16S ribosomal RNA". It matches the Rfam family "Bacterial small subunit ribosomal RNA", at positions 28 to 507 of the family's 1533-position model. The record is from RNAcentral.